AGAUUGAACGCUGGCGGCAGGCCUAACACAUGCAAGUCGAGCGGCAGCACGGGUACUUGUACCUGGUGGCGAGCGGCGGACGGGUGAGUAAGUGCCUAGGAAUCUGCCUGGUAGUGGGGGGAUAACGCUCGGAAACGGCACUAAUACCGCAUACGUCCUACGGGAGAAAGCAGGGGACCUUCGGGCCUUGCGCUAUCAGAUGAGCCUAGGUCGGAUUAGCUAGUUGGUGAGGUAAUGGCUCACCAAGGCGACGAUCCGUAACUGGUCUGAGAGGAUGAUCAGUCACACUGGAACUGAGACACGGUCCAGACUCCGUAGGGAGGCAGCAGGUGGGAAUAUUGGACAAGUGGGACGAAAGCCGUAGAUCCAGCCAUGCCGCGUGUGUGAAGAGUCUA
RNAcentral lists this ribosomal RNA (395 nucleotides) under uncultured soil bacterium. RNAcentral describes it as "bacterial SSU rRNA". It matches the Rfam family "Bacterial small subunit ribosomal RNA", at positions 26 to 416 of the family's 1533-position model. The record is from RNAcentral.